Saimiri boliviensis boliviensis (Bolivian squirrel monkey) is the source of this 2247-nucleotide non-coding RNA. Lineage: Eukaryota; Metazoa; Chordata; Mammalia; Primates; Cebidae. The record is from RefSeq and is a predicted model, not a curated record.
CUUACACCUAGAGGCGCUCGCUCUACGGCCGGAACCUUGGUUGCUAAGGAGCGGGCGGUUUGCGGCAGCUGUGGGCACUGCUGAGUUUGAAUUGAGGGGCGAGGGAAAAGUUGGCCUCAGGUGUGGUGGGGCGAGGGCGAGGCGGGUGUUGGGAAACCGUGGGGACGUGGUCUGAAGGGCCACGGGCUGCCGCAGUUGGAAAGGGACGCACGGUUUCCCUGCGCGCGAACGGGGAUGGGAAUGGACUUCAAUGAGGCUGAAGUUCAGCUGGACUGAAAGAGAGGCGAGAAGUUCCGCCUGCCAGCAGCCUCGUUAGCGGAGCGGAAUGAGUAAUACCCACACGGUGCCUGUCUCACUUCCCCAUCCGCACCGGCUCUCACCUGCUGUCACCUCGGCCUCCCCCACCCGGCCCUCGCCCCUCUCCCUCCCCUCCCUCCUGCCCCUCCUCGUGUAGACCCCUGGGAUCCUGGGUGGCAGGACCCAGAGCUGAGGUAUUCACAGGCCAUGAUUUCCUCCCUAAAUGAGAGGUCAUCUCCAUUCAGGACGAUGUUUCAGGCAAGAAGUAACAGCUGACAGAUGUGUUCUCUGAGCCUGAUAGAUGGCUGGUUUUAUCUUAAGUCCUCGGUAUAAGUUUGGGGAUUCCUGAAAGACCAUACAGAUACAAAUAUCAAGAAAGCCGUCUUCAGUAUUCAGUAGAAUGUAGAUUUAGGUUUUUCUUCCUGCUUCCCACCUCCUUCGAAUAAGGAAACGUCUUUUGGACCAACUUUAUGGAAUAAAUGAGCUGAUCUGUAUUUCAAGUAAUAGAGUUAUAAAUUAACAAUGUAGGAAUUUAUUGAUAGAGAAAUUGAGAAAACGGAAAAGUGACCAGAGUAUUGGAAAUAACUAGUAAAUCACCUAGCUCACUGUCUGACACAUAGUAGGUGCUCAAUAAAUUUAUGCUUAUAAUUUUUGCCAUCUCUAUGGCAGGAUUUUUUUUAUUAGGUUAAAAUUAUCUUUUAACCACCUUCCGGAAUUUUAGGAUAUUCAUUAAUAAUGUCUUCAAACCUUUCAACUGAAAUAAAUUUACAGCUGAAGUCUGGUGAUUUAAAGUUAGAAAGUUUAAUCUUGAAUAUAGAUGAACAUUUUCUCUCUCACAUUUUCUUGGACAUUUUGAGAAGUAAAUGCAUUAUUUAUUGGUCCAUGAAAUGUACCUGUAAAUAUUCUUUGCUAUACAUUAUGUCUAUAUAUCUGCCCUCAUCCUCAGUGCCAAAACUAGAAUCGUUAUUCUUAAUGAUAAUUUCAAGUACAGGCAGUAUUCACUUUCCUCAGUACCAUGGUAACUGAAAUCUGUGCGUGUCAACGCAGUGUCCUUGCUUUGCUUGGUUAAGUGUGAAUUCUUCCUCCCUUUUAAGAGUUGUACAGGGUUCUUCAGUCACCUACCGAAUCAGCCGAUAGACUGUGGAAUUGCUCCCACCCCACCAACGUUUUUUCAGCCACCCUAACUUCUGACCAGAAAGGAAAAAAAAAAAAUACUUUCCAACUCCAGCACACGUAUACCUACUAUUAAACUUAGGAAGUACUACAAAUAGCAUUUUCUUGUGUUCUCUUUCUGGCCUAUACCUCCUUCCCAAGCUUCCUUCAGUGUUCAUCCUUACCUCAUAAUCAUAAAGAGUUGAAGCAAAGAGACGCAUUGAGAAGUCAUUUUCUUCCUUCCUUUAGUGGUUUCUGGUUUUUUAGUUAGGCCCAGACUGUGGACAAGUACCUUUUCAGGCAAGUUUUUUUUUCCAUGUUUCUAUGUCCUCAACACCUAGUGGAGUACAUGGCCAAUAGUAGAUGCUUGAUAAACAUUUCCUAAAUAAGUUAAUGUUGUUGCCCUUUUCUGAACCUGUUCUUGGCAGUAAAAUCCAUAAUCUGCCUUCAUCCCUCCCGUUAGUCCUUAGGAACAGCUAAAGUCAUGGAUGCAAAAGUGAUUACUGUCAUUUAUAUCCAGACUAAAAUUCCUCUUGAUUUUAAUUUCUCCAUAAUCAUUUUCCCUGAACAAAUAACUCUGUUCACCAGAUUUUUAAAAUGUGCACAGUGAAUAUUAUUGGUAGCCCAAAUCUUCUAACAUAAAAUUUUCAUUGUGUAAAAGCUUCUGAUAAGUACGUUAUGAAUUAAAUGUUUAAUUAUCAUACUUUAUUUACUGUAAUUUUCUUGAAAAUAUUGAUAUCUAGACUGGAAAGAAAACAGACAAUAGUAAAUCUCAGAAUACAUUUCUGCUUUGAACAU